GACAGAGGGUGCAAACGUUGCUCGGAAUCACUGGGCGUAAAGGGCGUGUAGGCGGGAGAGAAAGUCGGGCGUGAAAUCCCUAGGCUCAACCUAGGAACUGCACUCGAAACUUCUUUUCUUGAGUGCCGGAGAGGAAAGCGGAAUACCUGGUGUAGAGGUGAAAUUCGUAGAUAUCAGGUGGAACACCAGUGGCGAAGGCGGCUUUCUGGACGGUAACUGACGCUGAGACGCGAAAGCGUGGGUAGCGAACAGG
Molecule: ribosomal RNA, 253 nt
Filed under: uncultured bacterium
Lineage: Bacteria
Description: partial 16S ribosomal RNA
Rfam family: Bacterial small subunit ribosomal RNA
Source: RNAcentral